RNAcentral lists this ribosomal RNA (253 nucleotides) under uncultured bacterium. Its description in RNAcentral is "partial 16S ribosomal RNA". It matches the Rfam family "Bacterial small subunit ribosomal RNA", at positions 524 to 776 of the family's 1533-position model. The record is from RNAcentral.
UACGUAGGGUGCGCGCGUUAAUCGGAAUUACUGGGCGUAAGGCGUGCGCAGGCGGUUCGCUAAGACAGAUGUGAAAUCCCCGGGCUUAACCUGGGAACUGCGUUUGUGACUGGCGGGCUGGAGUGCGGAAGAGGGAGGUGGAAUUCCACGUGUAGCAGUGAAAUGCGUAGAGAUGUGGAGGAACACCGAUGGCGGAGGCAGCCUCCUGGUCUAGCACUGACGCUCAUGCAAGAAAGCGUGGGGAGCAAACAGG